GGAGACGUGGCAGAGCGGUUGAAUGCACCGGUCUUGAAAACCGACAAGGGUUAAUAGCCCUUCGAGAGUUCGAAUCUCUCCGUCUCCGCCA
Molecule: transfer RNA, 91 nt
Filed under: Lactococcus lactis
Lineage: Bacteria; Bacillati; Bacillota; Bacilli; Lactobacillales; Streptococcaceae
Also listed under: 75 other names
Description: tRNA-Ser
Rfam family: tRNA
About the family: Transfer RNA (tRNA) molecules are approximately 80 nucleotides in length. Their secondary structure includes four short double-helical elements and three loops (D, anti-codon, and T loops).
Source: RNAcentral